This 69-nucleotide transfer RNA is filed under the name Xanthomonas graminis pv. graminis. RNAcentral describes it as "Xanthomonas translucens pv. graminis tRNA-OTHER". It matches the Rfam family "tRNA". From Rfam's summary of the family: Transfer RNA (tRNA) molecules are approximately 80 nucleotides in length. Their secondary structure includes four short double-helical elements and three loops (D, anti-codon, and T loops). Lineage: Bacteria; Pseudomonadati; Pseudomonadota; Gammaproteobacteria; Lysobacterales; Lysobacteraceae. The record is from RNAcentral.
CCGGCGUUAGCGCGGAGGUGGAGCGGUGGCCUUGCCCACUGGUCGCCGGUUCGAUUCCGGCACGUCGUG